CCUGAACGCUGGCGGCGUGGCUAAGACAUGCAAGUCGCACGGUUCCCGCAAGGGGACAGUGGCGAACGGGUGAGUAAUGUAUCGCUAACGUACCCUUUAGACCGGGAUAGCCAGGGGAAACUCUGGGUAAUACCGGGAGAUAUUUUUCCUUCGCAUGGAGGGAAACUCAAAGGAGCAAUCCGCUGAAGGAGCGGGCGAUAUCGUAUCAGCUAGUUGGUGAGGUAACGGCUCACCAAGGCGACGAUGUCUAGGGGGUCUGAGAGGAUGAUCCCCACACUGGUACUGAGACACGGACCAGACUCCUACGGGAGGCAGCAGUAAGGAAUAUUGGACAAUGGCCGCAAGGCUGAUCCAGCCAUGCCGCGUGCAGGAUGAAGGUGCUCUGCAUUGUAAACUGC
This 398-nucleotide ribosomal RNA is filed under the name uncultured bacterium. RNAcentral describes it as "bacterial SSU rRNA". It matches the Rfam family "Bacterial small subunit ribosomal RNA", at positions 30 to 433 of the family's 1533-position model. The record is from RNAcentral.